CCCCCAGCCCGGCCCGGCCCCUGCCCCGGGGGUCCCCGCUCGGAGGGAAGGAUCCACGGUAUACCGCCGAACCGGAGGACCGCAGACCGUUCCCCACCAGACCCGGGCAGCAUCUGAAAGGCUGAGGAAUCACGUCCACAUUUCACUCCAGAUCGUCCCGUCUGCCAGGAGAAAGGGA
Molecule: long non-coding RNA, 178 nt
Organism: Mauremys reevesii (Reeves's turtle)
Lineage: Eukaryota; Metazoa; Chordata; Testudines; Geoemydidae
Exons: 3
Source: RefSeq, a predicted model, not a curated record